Molecule: long non-coding RNA, 1025 nt
Organism: Manis javanica (Malayan pangolin)
Lineage: Eukaryota; Metazoa; Chordata; Mammalia; Pholidota; Manidae
Source: RefSeq, a predicted model, not a curated record
ACUCACCCCAUCACCUAAAAUCACCAUGUGGCCCCUUCCCUGGAGCAAGGCUCUGCCCUGUUGAAAUGCCCACCUUGAAACGGCAAUGAAUUCGUGUUCCAUCACGGAGGUCUGGUGUUCUAGGAGCAAUGCAUGGGGCUAUCAGGGUGACGUUCAACAGCCAGACAAUCAGCCAACCCCAGAGGAAGGCCAGCCAACAGGGAGCAAGGCCCAUGUGAAGGUCCUCAAGCUCAGAGAAGGAAAUGGCCAUGCAAAGGGAUGCACGCCCAGGAGAAGCCGGUCUGCCACUGUACCCUUUCUGUGCCACGCAGAAUCAGUCGCUGACCUGGGUGUAGAGCUCUGGGAUGAAUCAUUUUCCCUCAGAACUUUGAAGACUUUGCUCCAUUAUCUUCCACAUCUGAUGCUGCUGCUUCUCUAGGCAGCGGAGGACAGACGAAGAGUAAACUGAGAAAUGAGAUGCAGGGAGCCAGUGGGAGGUCGGCAGCAGCCCCCACGGUGCCGGAGAAGGCCAAGGCGACGGUGUGCCUCACGGCGACCACCGAAUAUGACGGCGACCACUGAACGUGAUGGAAUGUGGCCGGCCUGCCCACCCACUCACAGUGACGUGGGGCCACAGUGGACACCCGACCAGGUGACAGAGCAGGAAAUACAUGCCCGGCAGGCAGUUCCCCUCCCGAGGAAGACAGAUGGGGCCACCUGACCUGGUCACCUCCCCAAACUUACUGGUGAGGACAAGAGAGAAGCGGGCAGCAGGUCACCCCAGCGGUGUCCUUCGAGAGCAGAAGGGACUGUCCCCAGCAGUACUUUCAGAAACCAAAUAUUGGGUCUCUUGGAUUGAUCUGCUGUGGCUUUUCUCUAUAAUCCCUGUUUCUUUGGUUUUUUAGUACUAUUUUCUGGGUGAUUUCUUCUACUUCCCACACGUGUGUUAAAUAUUUUCCUCUAUUUUUUAUCUCACAGCACUUUCUUGUCGGGACCCUCCUAUUCUCAUAGCCCUGUGUUCAUGCUGCAUGAGUGUGUUAUCUUUU